This is a non-coding RNA of Erinaceus europaeus (western European hedgehog), 106 nucleotides long. NCBI's taxonomy places the organism in Eukaryota, Metazoa, Chordata, Mammalia, Eulipotyphla, Erinaceidae. The record is from Rfam.
GUGCUCGAUUCACAGUACAUGUACUAAAAUUGGAACAAUACAGAGAAGAUUAACAUGUUGCAUAUGUAAGGAUGCCACACAAAUUUCUGAAGCAUUCCACAUAUUA